UACGAAGGGGGCUAGCGUUGCUCGGAAUCACUGGGCGUAAAGGGCGCGUAGGCGGCCAUUCAAGUCGGGGGUGAAAGCCCAGGGCUCAACCCUGGAAUUGCCUUCGAUACUGUUUGGCUAGAGACCGGAAGAGGUAAGUGGAACUGCGAGUGUAGAGGUGAAAUUCGUAGAUAUUCGCAAGAACACCAGUGGCGAAGGCGGCUAACUGGUCCGGUUCUGACGCUGAGGUGCGAAAGCGUGGGGAGCAAACAGG
This 253-nucleotide ribosomal RNA is filed under the name uncultured bacterium. RNAcentral describes it as "partial 16S ribosomal RNA". It matches the Rfam family "Bacterial small subunit ribosomal RNA", at positions 524 to 776 of the family's 1533-position model. The record is from RNAcentral.